This 135-nucleotide small RNA is filed under the name Sinorhizobium meliloti 2011. Its description in RNAcentral is "putative ncRNA". The record is from RNAcentral. Lineage: Bacteria; Pseudomonadati; Pseudomonadota; Alphaproteobacteria; Hyphomicrobiales; Rhizobiaceae.
GUCCGGUGCACCUUCACGUUCAACGUCGGCUUCUUCGUUUUCUUUGACUUUUGUUGCCAUUUAUUCGUCGCUUUCCUUGUCGCAACCGGCCGGCGCCCGGUAAUCAAUGCCACUCGGAGGUCCGGGCACGCCGCG